CUCACGUUCUCAGGCCUCCACGCUGAGGUGAGGUCUCUACUGGGGGUCCUGGGCUGGGCUGGGGGUCUUGCCACCUUGGCGCAGCUUGGACUCAAGACACUGUGCACCUCUUAGCAGGCCUUUGCUGGACAGAUGAAGAGUGACUUGUUUCUGGAUGAUUCUAAGAGGUUGAUGGGCGGAUGGCUACAUGGAUGUGAUGGAGAUGGUUUACUAUCGGGACCUUCCGCAUCCUGCUGAUGUUUUGUUGCUUAAGAUAUGAAUGGCUGAGCGGAGGCUGUAAACCCUGGCACUCUGCUUGGGUAUGAGGUUCUUCCUGCCAUCCUGCCAUCAUUUGUUUUUUAUGUUUUGUCGCCAAAAGUGACCUUGAGGAACCCUGGGAGCUCAGGAAGGAAGGAGCGCCCAGAAGCAGGGACAGGGAGCUGGUUGGGGAGGACCAGAAAUCAGGUUAUCAAUACUCUGGCUGACCUUCGUCAUCGUGGGACUGACUUUGGUGGAAGUCUUUGGUUACUUAUCAUUACUGUGUUUCUGAGAAGUUAUAAAUUUGCCAUCUCCCUCCGCACAAGUUACCUUCUGUGUCUUUCCUGAAGACUAUCUUCCUCUCAAAAUGGACAUGAUGGAUCCACGGAUGUACAGCAGAGAGCCAGGAGGUCCAACCGCCGUAGACAGGAAGGAAUUAAAAUUGUCCUGGAAGCCAUCUUUACUUUAUGGAGACAGGUGAAACCAAAGUUCGAGCUAAAAUCCAUAAGAUGAAGGUGACAACAAAAGUCAACC
RNAcentral lists this small RNA (771 nucleotides) under Pan troglodytes (chimpanzee). Its description in RNAcentral is "retained intron". Lineage: Eukaryota; Metazoa; Chordata; Mammalia; Primates; Hominidae. The record is from RNAcentral.